Molecule: microRNA, 21 nt
Filed under: Macaca mulatta (Rhesus monkey)
Lineage: Eukaryota; Metazoa; Chordata; Mammalia; Primates; Cercopithecidae
Description: mml-miR-7169-5p
Source: miRBase by way of RNAcentral
CCUUCAGUCUAGGACUCAUUU